Molecule: ribosomal RNA, 1194 nt
Filed under: Triticum aestivum (bread wheat)
Lineage: Eukaryota; Viridiplantae; Streptophyta; Magnoliopsida; Poales; Poaceae
Description: partial small subunit ribosomal RNA
Source: RNAcentral
AUGGCUGCGAAGAAACCUAAGGAAGGCUGCGGUCAUGGAGUUCAUGGCAUCACGCCUACGGAGAUUCUCACCGUGGCCUUACCCGAGCUCACUACCCUAGUGGAGUGCGGGGCAGGCCACAACUUCACCACCAUCGACGUCAACAACAUUGCUGCUCCGACACCGACCAGGUGCUGUACAGAGUGCCCGAGUCGCAACGCCACCAUCAACAUCUUCCCCGAGCUUGCCUCCCCUGCCGUGUGCCACGAGGCCCUCGACAUCGAGAUUGUCCAUGUCACUGCACCAACACCCGCCAUCUGCUCGACACGUGAUCUGGCCCAUGGUAGUGUUGAUGAAAAACUCAUGAUAUUCACUGUGAUGAGGCUGUUCUCUACACCGGAGGUUGGACCGCCAACAUUUGCGGUUUUGGUGUCUACCAAUGCCAAUGAGGUCACGGCACACCAGUUCAUGCCCGACGUGGCACCGGGUUGGAAGCCACAAGGGAAGGUGGUCCGGCCAGCACCAUGGCCCUCUUUCCUUGACGAGGGUACCAGUGCAGAUUGUGGCGACAUCAUUGAGCCGCCACCAAGCGUCGCCACAGUGCCAACCAAGGCAGUGGCUCCCUAUGUGAUUUGGCGACAGAUAAUGCUGGUCGAUAAUGACCAUAGUAAGGAGUACCAAGUAGAUCUUGUUUUCGGGCCUCAACCAGAGUGCAAAACUAUUAUCCCUCAACCUCUUGGUCAACCAGGAGAAAUCGGUAACUGGAAUAUUGUUGCAAACCAUGCUGGAACAAAGCCAGAUGAACAGUGUGAUUUUAUUUGUCUCCCCGCGAAGGAUAGUUUGUUAACAAAUAGGAAGGUACGAGAUGCAUCCGGGCCAAUUAGAGUGCAAAGCGAUGGAUAUCCACAUUCAUAUUCCGAGGUGGGACAAAGAAUUUCAACAUCAUGUACACAUGCAGCCUUAUCUGUUUCGACAAGAGCUUAUAACUCCAGAAUGAUUUCUGAAAGCAUGUGUGCCAAUAAUAGGGCCCAUAAUGUACGGCAAUGGCUGCUUCUCAUGGGGAACAUCUGCAGCUGUGUGAGAGCGCCUCACAUGUUUGAGAAUGUGAAUAAAUUCUUUGAUGCAGGCGAGACUCGAGUGGCACUGGAUUCUCUGACAUUAGAUGUUCUUCAGAUAGCUUCCUACUUGGGUACUGUUGGGACUAGGGCUUGUUUG